CUGCAUGUCUAGUAUAAGCAACUAUACGGUGAAACUGCGAAUGGCUCAUUAAAUCAGUUAUCGUUUAUUUGAUAGUACCCUACUACAUGGAUACCUGUGGUAAUUCUAGAGCUAAUACAUGCUAAAAACCUCGACUUCGGAAGGGGUGUAUUUAUUAGAUAAAAAACCAAUGCCCUUCGGGGCUCCUUGGUGAAUCAUAAUAACUAAACGAAUCGCAUGGCCUUGCGCCGGCGAUGGUUCAUUCAAAUUUCUGCCCUAUCAACUUUCGAUGGUAGGAUAGUGGCCUACCAUGGUAGUAACGGGUAACGGGGAAUUAGGGUUCGACUCCGGAGAGGGAGCCUGAGAAACGGCUACCACAUCCAAGGAAGGCAGCAGGCGCGCAAAUUACCCAAUCCCGAUACGGGGAGGUAGUGACAAUAAAUACUGAUACAGGGCUCUUUUGGGUCUUGUAAUUGGAAUGAGUACAAUUUAAAUCCCUUAACGAGGAACAAUUGGAGGGCA
RNAcentral lists this ribosomal RNA (501 nucleotides) under melanized limestone ascomycete CR-2004. RNAcentral describes it as "SSU rRNA". It matches the Rfam family "Eukaryotic small subunit ribosomal RNA", at positions 51 to 557 of the family's 1831-position model. The record is from RNAcentral. Lineage: Eukaryota; Fungi; Ascomycota.